Molecule: non-coding RNA, 76 nt
Filed under: uncultured Mantoniella
Lineage: Eukaryota; Viridiplantae; Chlorophyta; Mamiellophyceae; Mamiellales
Source: RNAcentral
UGAUGGAGAGAUUAAUAAAAUAAAAAAUAAAAAACCCAAAAAAAUUAACUGUUUUGUAGCCUUAUAGCUUUAUUAC